Musca domestica (house fly) is the source of this 3701-nucleotide long non-coding RNA. RefSeq lists it as uncharacterized. NCBI's taxonomy places the organism in Eukaryota, Metazoa, Arthropoda, Insecta, Diptera, Muscidae. The transcript is spliced from 3 exons. The record is from RefSeq and is a predicted model, not a curated record.
UUCAGAAUCUUUAGUAAUAACUUCGUCGUUCUCUUGUUCUGAACUCUAUUUCGAAGAAAAAAAAGACAAUUCAAAAUGAAUUUUCUACACAUUUUCGCUGUGGUAGCCAUGAUCUUGGCUUUGGCCACUGGACAAAUUGAAGCCAAAGGUCGUGGUGGUGGCAACAAGGGUCACUACAUUAGGGGUGGUGCUCAUGUGGCCGGCAAGGCUGUUGAAGGUCUUGGUGCUGCCGUUGUUGAUAAAAUUGGAUAGAUUCAUCAUCGAUUCAGCAUCGUUAAUCUUAUACUAAAUUGUAUAAAAUCAAAAGAAGACAAUAAAUACUUCUUAAUAUUGAGGUAAAAUAAAUAACAAUUAAAAAACAAAUUCAAGGACUGAAGAAUUUUUAUGAAGCACCUAAAUUCAGGAACUCCAGGCAAAAAUGUGAUUUUUUACAGAAUUUUUCUUAAGGACAUAAACUUGUUUUUUUCUCAGGAUCUUCCAGCCGGUAAAUGUGGAUAAAGAACUGUUUUAAGUUAUCAAAUGGGAUCUACAAGCCAAUAAAUCUUGAUUUAUCAAGGGCCUUCAGGUUAAUUAGGAUCAGGAUUUUUAAAAAGUUUUUUUUUUAUCAAGGAUCUACAGGCCAAUUAUUUAUGGAAUUUUCAAGAGUUUCUUUAUCAAGGAUCUACAGAUCAAUUACCAUGGAUUUUUAAAGUUUUUUUUAUCGGGGAUCUACAGGCUAAUUAACGUGGAAUUUUCAAGAGUUUCUUUAUCAAGGAUCUACAGGUCAAUUACCGUGGAUUUUUAAAGAAUUUUUUCAAGGACAUAAAGUGAAAAAACGCGCAUUUACGAAUGCUUUUCAAGGGCAUACCGGCUAAUACACCUGAAAUUUGAAAUAUUUUUUUUGCAAGGACAUACCUGCUUGUAAACGUUGAUUUGACUUUUUUGUUUUUCAACGACGUACCGGCUAAAGAUGUUCUAUAAAGGAUUUCAAGUUCAUUUUGAAGAAUUUUUUUUAUCAAGGACCUACAGCCAGUAAAGUAAAUUUUUAAAGAAAUGUGUUUAAUAAGGAACACAAGGACAAUAUGUAAUGUGGUUUUUAUCAAUUUUUUUCUAGCCAGUAAACGUAGAUUUUUAAAGAACUACUAAUGUAGGGCCUACAGGCCAAUAAACGUGAAUAUUUUAUGAAUGUUUUAUGAAGGACAUACAGUCCAAUAAAUUUUGAUUUUCAAGGAUUUUUUAUCAAGGACCUACUGGCCACUUAACGUGGAUUUAUAAAUUUUUUUAGGGAUAUACAGGUGAAUGUUGUUCUGCGGUAUUUUAGCUCAUUCCAACCGAUUGGAAUCCGGAGAUUUUGGUGGCCAUUGUGCGCUGAAAAUGAAGCCAGGAACCUUAUCUUGUGCGAUGGUGCCGUUGGAAUGUCCAAGGUCUGCGGCCAAAAUCUUUGCGUUCCCAAUGCUUUAAUAUAGCCUUCAGAAUAUUUUCGAGAUAAUAUUUGGCAUUUAUUCUAAUGCCACUGUUAUGGCGGCCCACACCAUCAACAUGGGCGUCGCUUGAGUUCUGGUGACCAACCGAAGGUGCACAUUUUCAACUGACCUCUUUGGCAAGUAAAAACGAUCAUUUUGUUUGUUUACAAACAGCUGGACAAGGAAUGAUUUCUCAUCGGAUAAACCCCAAUUCGGCAGUUCACCACUUUCGGCCAAGCGAAGCAAUCCUUUAGCUGUUUUGAAUAUAGAAUAGUGUUGGCUUGUUUGUUCGGGAUACUGUAGUAUUUUGUUGUUGCAAAAUGGUCAGGCUUUAUCCCUUUAUUGUUGUUUUUAUAAAAACAACGUUUGUUUAUUAGUGGAGAACGAUGGUAAAGUUUACCAGGGGGUAAUAAAGCCUGACCAUUUUGCAACAACAAAAUACUACGGUAUCCCGAACAAACAAGCCAACACUGUUCUAUUAAUAGACAAGGCACGGUCGACGAAGGGUUUUUUUGUUUUAACAGACAAAAUCAACUUACAUGGUUAUGCUACUUCGUUCAGGUUGAACGACAGCAUAACAAGUGGAGAAAGAUGUAAAUGUUUAUAAGUGCGGUUGUAAGAUUUAGAAGACUUUCCAAAAGAAUUUUAGUUUUAUUUAAUUCUUUGGUUCCUCUUCUAUUGAGCUUACGAUCUUGUCACUUGGGUAAAAAAUGUUUUUUGUCAUAGAAGUUAUUUUAAAAAUAACUUCUGGGGAGAAUAUCCCAGACAAAAAACAAGGGAACUGAUGAGGAUUGGUGGCUCUUUCCGAAACCUAGGUAUUCCCUGCCUUACCCCCUGGUAAACGUUUUGAAUAUAUUUUCUUUCUGUUGCGGUGUAAGUUCUUGCACUCUUUAGAAUUUAUGGCCUUACCUCGAGCUUAUUUUUCACUAUUUGCCGAAUGAAAUAUUGCGAUAUGUUCAGCUCACGAGCAGUUUUUCGGCCACUGCGACGCGGGUUUCGAUCAAGUCGCUUCUUUACUUUUCGUACCAUUUCUGCUGAUGUUGCUGGUUUCUUCCGUCCACUUCCUUGACGUCGGGUUGUACUACCAGUAUCGCGGUAACGAGAGAUGGUACGAAACACAAAAGAUUUAUUCACAUUUAAAUGCUGGAGUGCUCUAACGAUAGCCACUUGUGGGUUUCCAGCCAAAUGUUAAAAAAAUCACACUAUCACAACUGAAUUCCAUCACGAAAAACUUUUUUUCUGGAAAAUUCUCACCAAAAUGCUUUUGUACGCUUGUAAACAAUAUAAUGAGCUGUCACUGGAAUAAUUUUAACAGCUGUCGGCCGAGUAUUUUAGAAAUGACAGCAGUCUGAAGUUGGUUGCAGUUUUUCAUCACACUGUGUUGAUUGGCCUGUAGGUUCUUCACAGGACCUACAGGACCAUCAACAUAAGUUUUUUAAGAAUUGUUUUAUGAAGAACCUACUGGCCAUUAAACGUGGAUUUUUAAAAGAUUUUUUUUCAAGGAUAUACAUGCUAAUAAUCGUGUAUUUGAAAAAAAAAAAAAAAUAUCGAGUACCUAUAGGCCAAAAAACCUAGAUGGUUAAAUACUUUUUUAUAAAGGACAUACAGGUAAAUAAACUAGCUUUUUUUUUUAAAAAUUUGGUUUUUUUUUUUAAGAAAAUUUGAAUUCCAAAGAAUCUUAAUUCGCCAAAUUUAAAAAAAAUUAGAAGAGUGGGUAAGUUAUGCUCCUACUAUUUAGUUUAAUUUUCGUUAUAGGUGUCCUCCAUAUUUAGUCUACAUUCUUUAUCUACCAGAGUUAUUGAAAAUUUGGAAUUUUAUCGCACAAUGUUGUUAGACUUCUUAUUUUUGUGUUAUACACGUCAUCGAUAAUUUUUAAAUUCAGUCUGUAAGUUAGUGAUAUGCUCCCCUGCGGAGAAAAAUGAUUUCACAAAAAAAAAAAAAAAAAAAAAAAAACAUCUACAUAUAUUAAGAAACCUAUACCAUCAACUAAUCCACCUGUGCUUUGCAAAACUAAAUAAACAAAGUCGAUUUGUUUACUAAUACACAAAUAUAAAACGAAGAAGAUUUGAGAAAAAAUUAUUCAAUCAAGUUUCUACUCUCGUCAAGAACAGAUAUAGAAUUUUCUUCUUCGAUAAUGAUGUUGUUUAGGUGCUGCCUUACUUUUUUAUUCAUUGUGAUUUUGGCCAUUUCUUUGCCAAACAUUGCUGCAGCCCAGAGACGUAGGCCAGGGCAAGAGAACAGUUCCUGGAAUUCGUUCUA